Molecule: ribosomal RNA, 492 nt
Filed under: uncultured bacterium
Lineage: Bacteria
Description: partial 16S ribosomal RNA
Rfam family: Bacterial small subunit ribosomal RNA
Source: RNAcentral
AGUGAACGCUGGCGGUAGGCCUAACACAUGCAAGUCGAACGGCAGCACAGUAAGAGCUUGCUCUUACGGGUGGCGAGUGGCGGACGGGUGAGGAAUACAUCGGAAUCUACUUUUUCGUGGGGGAUAACGUAGGGAAACUUACGCUAAUACCGCAUACGACCUACGGGUGAAAGCAGGGGAUCUUCGGACCUUGCGCGAUUGAAUGAGCCGAUGUCGGAUUAGCUAGUUGGCGGGGUAAAGGCCCACCAAGGCGACGAUCCGUAGCUGGUCUGAGAGGAUGAUCAGCCACACUGGAACUUAGACACGGUCCAGACUCCUACGGGAGGCAGCAGUGGGGAAUAGUGGACAAUGGGCGCAAGUCUGAUCCAGCCAUACCGCGUGGGUGAAGAAGGCCUUCGGGUUGUAAAGCCCUUUUGUUGGGAAAGAAAAGCAGCAGGUUAAUACCCCGCUGUUCUGACGGUACCCAAAGAAUAAGCACCGGCUAACUUCGUG